AACGAACGCUGGCGGCAGGCUUAACACAUGCAAGUCGAACGCAUCCUUCGGGGUGAGUGGCAGACGGGUGAGUAACGCGUGGGAAUCUACCCAUCUCUGCGGAAUGGCUCCGGGAAACUGGAAUUAAUACCGCAUACGCCCUACGGGGGAAAGAUUUAUCGGGGAUGGAUGAGCCCGCGUUGGAUUAGCUAGUUGGUGGGGUAAAGGCCUACCAAGGCGACGAUCCAUAGCUGGUCUGAGAGGAUGAUCAGCCACAUUGGGACUGAGACACGGCCCAAACUCCUACGGGGGGCAGCAGUGGGGAAUAUUGGACAAUGGGCGCAAGCCUGAUCCAGCCAUGCCGCGUGAGUGAUGAAGGCCUUAGGGUUGUAAAGCUCUUUCACCGAUGAAGAUAAUGACGGUAGUCGGAGAAGAAGCCCCGGCUAACUUCGUGCCAGCCGCCGCCGUAA
Molecule: ribosomal RNA, 449 nt
Filed under: uncultured bacterium
Lineage: Bacteria
Description: partial 16S ribosomal RNA
Rfam family: Bacterial small subunit ribosomal RNA
Source: RNAcentral